This 270-nucleotide ribosomal RNA is filed under the name uncultured archaeon. RNAcentral's name for it is "partial 16S ribosomal RNA". It matches the Rfam family "Archaeal small subunit ribosomal RNA", at positions 477 to 747 of the family's 1478-position model. The record is from RNAcentral.
CUGCAGCUCAAGUGGUGAUCACUAUUAUUGGGCCUAAAACGUUCGUAGCCGGUUUGGUAAAUGCCUGGGUAAAUCGUGUAGCUUAACUAUACGAAUUCCGGGUAGACUGCCAAACUUGAGACCGGGAGAAGCUAGAGGUACUCCUGGGGUAGAGGUGAAAUUCUGUAAUCCUGGGGGGACCACCAGUGGCGAAGGCGUCUAGCUAGAACGGGUCUGACGGUGAGGAACGAAGCCCUGGGGCGCAAACCGGAUUAGAUACCCGAGUAGUCC